Molecule: long non-coding RNA, 798 nt
Organism: Haliotis rubra (blacklip abalone)
Lineage: Eukaryota; Metazoa; Mollusca; Gastropoda; Lepetellida; Haliotidae
Exons: 4
Source: RefSeq, a predicted model, not a curated record
GUUCCAGAUAUCUGCAGCAACAUGAGCAUUCAACCACAAAUAAACGUUAUCUUGUACAGCAAUGCCAACCUCACUGGCGACUGUUUACCAGUAUCUAAAGACAUAGCGGAUUUGAACAUCUUCAAGAACAGGGCUCAGUCAGCCAUUGUAGUCCAUGGAAGUUGGCAGCUAGCAAGCGCUUCGGGACACACAUAUUCUCUUUCGGAGGGUACCGGAACAUAUUCUGACCUUGGUACUUUCAAACAAAAGGCCGUCUCCAUCACCCGAGUAUAAGGCGCCGUUGCCAUGAAGGAGACCCUCCCGACAAAGGGACAUACCAGCCACCUGCAUUUCUGCAUUUUCCUCUGCACUUUCCUGUACUCUUGAUGUUCCUUUACUCCAGAUUAUUAUGCUUUUAAUGUCUAAUGUUUAGCUAUGCUUAAGUGGGUUUGCUUAAGGUGGGGAUAGGAAUCGACGUAGGUUGUAAGUGUGUGGUUAUUACAGUGUUCAGAGACAAAUGGGUUUACUCUCACUGCCUCUUGGUACAGUUCAAGUCAAAAUCACGAAUGGUCAUAAUAUCUACAGAUAAACUAACUCGACAGAGCAAUUACAUCAUCUUAAUCCAACAAUUUUGGCUUUAAUUUUACAGUAAAAUGAUUAUAAAUAAAUACGAUGCAGAAAAUUAUUGCUCAUUUCUAUUCUGAAGUUCUUGGUGUAACAUUAACUUUACCACCUGUGCAAUUGCUUCACAAAAGCUAUGUUCAUUCUGAACAAUGAAUGCUAACAGGAUGAAGGUCACAUUGUUGACAUUAUGCCUCA